GAUGAACGCUGGCGGCGUGCCUAAUACAUGCAAGUCGAGCGAAGCGGGAGCGGGUGAGGAAAACGUGGGUAACCUCCUAUAAGACUGGGAUAAACUAGGGGAACCGGAGCUAAAACGGCUACUUUGCGAUGGAUGCGCGCUGCAUUAGCUAGUUGGUAAGGUAACGGCGUACCAAGGCCACGAUGCAUAGCCGACCUGAGAGGGGGACCGGCCACACUGGAACUGAGACACGGUCCAGACUCCUACGGGAGGCAGCAGUAGGGAAUCUUCCGCAAUGGGCGAAAGCCUGACGGAGCAACGCCGCGUGAGUGAUGAAGGUCUUCGGAUCGUAAAACUCUGUUAUUAGGGAAGCGGUACCUAAUCAGAAAGCCACGGCUAACUACGUGCCAGCAGCCGCGGUAAUUC
This 405-nucleotide ribosomal RNA is filed under the name uncultured bacterium. RNAcentral describes it as "partial 16S ribosomal RNA". It matches the Rfam family "Bacterial small subunit ribosomal RNA", at positions 28 to 526 of the family's 1533-position model. The record is from RNAcentral.